This 253-nucleotide ribosomal RNA is filed under the name uncultured bacterium. RNAcentral's name for it is "partial 16S ribosomal RNA". It matches the Rfam family "Bacterial small subunit ribosomal RNA", at positions 524 to 776 of the family's 1533-position model. The record is from RNAcentral.
UACGUAGGGUGCGAGCGUUAAUCGGAAUUACUGGGCGUAAAGCGUGCGCAGGCGGUUUUGUAAGCCAGAUGUGAAAGCCCCGGGCUCAACCUGGGAACUGCAUUUGUGACUGCACGGCUGGAGUGCGGCAGAGGGGGAUGGAAUUCCGCGUGUAGCAGUGAAAUGCGUAGAUAUGCGGAGGAACACCGAUGGCGAAGGCAAUCCCCUGGGCCUGCACUGACGCUCAUGCACGAAAGCGUGGGGAGCAAACAGG